RNAcentral lists this ribosomal RNA (214 nucleotides) under uncultured fungus. Its description in RNAcentral is "partial small subunit ribosomal RNA". The stretch from base 94 to 214 matches the Rfam family "Eukaryotic small subunit ribosomal RNA", at positions 741 to 864 of the family's 1831-position model. The record is from RNAcentral. Lineage: Eukaryota; Fungi.
GACACGGCUGACUGGUCCGCCUAACGGUGAGUACUGGUCGGCUGGGUCUUUCCUUCUAGGGAACCAGGUUGCCCUUAAUUGGGUGGCCUGGCGAUCUAGGACUUUUACUUUGAAAAAAUUAGAGUGUUCAAAGCAGGCUUACGCUUGAAUACAUUAGCAUGGAAUAAUAGAAUAGGACUUUGGUUCUAUUUUGUUGGUUUCUAGGACCGAAGUA